AUUUCGUUGGACAGUCUGUUACACAUUUCAAACAAUGUAGGCUUUUACAGCACGGAACCGAGACUUGCGAUGCAGUUGAUGCGAUGCGAUGCCCGAACAUAGCUGAGCCGUCCUGGCGCAGUUGAGUUGAUGACUCGUAGUGGGAGAUGUUUGCGACGCCUUCUGUGAGUCCCACAUUACUGUAACUAAUUUCGUUACUUUUUUUGGGUACCUUUGAAGCACAGUGGCCGCGUCCGGCGUUGUGACGCAGUUAGCGAAACUAAGCUCGACCGUGUGUGUGACGCUUUUAGUUUCGCGUGUACUGAAUCUUACUGGGACAAGUUCAUGAGACAUUCUCUGACCCCCAACGUUAUUGUAAUUUAGUUAAUUUUUUGGGGGAUACAUUUGAGGCACGCCGGCCACGCCUGACGUUGUGACGCACUUUGCAAGAAGCUAAACAGUAGUCUACUAUAAGAAAUAUCUUGCUCUAAUAAGUGCCGCAUAGAGCUUCUGCAGCAGUUAUGCUAUGCGUGGCUUAUGUUGCUCAUAAAUUACAUCAAUAUGGAUCUCGAAAAAAAAAAAAACAGUGUGAGAGAAAGUCCACUGCAAAAAAGAAAGCUCCGGAAGCUUGAAAAUUAGGAACAGUUUCUUACUGAUAUUUUGUUCGUUUCGUAAUUUGGAUGGUUCUUAAGGUGGCCCCUGAUUAGCCAACCUUUACAAAAUAUUUCGGUAUAUUUCAAUAUAUCCGUAAAUGUCGUGCAACGUAUUGUCUUUGUGCAUACAAUCAUUGCUCCCGAACUUGCAUUCUCCUUUUUCAACAUUAAUAGACAGCUGCCAUACAAAGAUCUUGGGAUGAUAGAACCUUGUGGAGUUCUCUUCGAUAAAGUUGUGUAAGCACUAACGUUGCUUGACGCUAUUUACUUCAGUGGUUUCAUUAUUCCUGCGUAACCGUGUGGGAGGGGGGUGGGGAAUGCUUCAAGGCUUCGCGUUCCAACCGCUUUCUCGGUGCUUUUCACGUAUGCUUAUCGUUUCUUUUUUUAUUUUGCAUCGGUGCCGAGAACGAGCGAUCGACAUGUUCCUGUCGCGGCAACAUCUGUCGGAGAAAGACGAUGCUGGCCUUUGGUUCAUCACCGGGUCAAGCAUGGGAGGCACCACGGUGCCCUGUUUUACGUGUUAGGCCAGCAAGGUUGACCUGGCUCCUGGAGCAGCGAGGUGAACAGCAUCUGCCGCCGCACGCUCAAGUCAGGCGACAGGUGCCAGGUGCGAGCAACCAGGGUCCUCACCGGAAGUGGCGACUAUGGCGAGGAUGUCCUCACCGCGGACUUGGAACGGCAUUUCCUCGAUCAGGAGCAACUUGGUGCGAGACCGCCGAACAGCCGCAGACCCAGGCUGGAGAGGUUCAGCUCGAACGUCAGGUCUCGAACCUGCGUCAGAGUGGCCACAUUUAUCGUCGCGACAACGAGGCAAUCGACACAAUUGCUGGAAACUGCGACAGACGCGUCGUUACUCACACACACAAAAAUAAAAAGACUCAAAACAGCGCUGGCCGCAAGGCCAGAAGAAAACGACGAUGGCGGUGUGUAGCGCCGAUGACGUGCAAGACGACUCAUGCUUCACGUACCACGAGUCCAACUAAUGAGUAUUCGCUGGGUAGUAGAAAUAUAGCACCGAAAUAUAGCA
Molecule: long non-coding RNA, 1659 nt
Organism: Dermacentor andersoni
Lineage: Eukaryota; Metazoa; Arthropoda; Arachnida; Ixodida; Ixodidae
Source: RefSeq, a predicted model, not a curated record